This 279-nucleotide ribosomal RNA is filed under the name uncultured bacterium. RNAcentral describes it as "partial 16S ribosomal RNA". It matches the Rfam family "Bacterial small subunit ribosomal RNA", at positions 506 to 784 of the family's 1533-position model. The record is from RNAcentral.
UGCCAGCCGCCGCGGUGAUACGGAGGGUGCAAGCGUUAAUCGGAAUUACUGGGCGUAAAGCGUGUGUAGGCGGUCUGCUAAGUCGGAUGUGAAAGCCCCGGGCUUAACCUGGGAAUUGCAUUCGAUACUGGUAGACUUGAAUUUGGUAGAGGAAAGUGGAAUUCCGGGUGUAGCGGUGAAAUGCGUAGAUAUCCGGAGGAACAUCAGUGGCGAAGGCGGCUAACUGGCUCGGUACUGACGCUGAGAUGCGAAAGCGUGGGGAGCAAACAGGAUUAGAUA